UUCGUAAACUCCACAUCCCUGGGUAUAAUAGCUCUACUUUAACUGUAGAAAACCACUCUUAUUAUCUUGAAAGACAAUAAUAACAAAGAGCUUUUUUUCCAGAUUAAAAAAUUUGGUUUUCUUUUUUGAUUACCUUUUACAUAGUGUUUAAAUAAAAAUGAAAUUAUUUUGUCUAAUUUCCCAGAAUAAUUUAUUUAAACUAUAUUCAUUUAACAAGUUAGUCAUGUUUUUUUCUGCCAAAAACACAAAUCCGACUGCCAAUUUAUAUUUGUAGUGAAACUGUAUUUUAUUUUUUUUAUUUAUUUUUUUUGAGAUGGAGUCUUGCUC
Molecule: long non-coding RNA, 327 nt
Filed under: Pan troglodytes (chimpanzee)
Lineage: Eukaryota; Metazoa; Chordata; Mammalia; Primates; Hominidae
Description: long non-coding RNA NONPTRT001170
Source: RNAcentral